GAUGAACGCUGGCGGCGUGCCUAAUACAUGCAAGUCGAGCGAACAGACGAGGAGCUUGCUCCUCUGACGUUAGCGGCGGACGGGUGAGUAACACGUGGAUAACCUACCUAUAAGACUGGGAUAACUUCGGGAAACCGGAGCUAAUACCGGAUAAUAUAUUGAACCGCAUGGUUCAAUAGUGAAAGACGGUUUUGCUGUCACUUAUAGAUGGAUCCGCGCCGCAUUAGCUAGUUGGUAAGGUAACGGCUUACCAAGGCAACGAUGCGUAGCCGACCUGAGAGGGUGAUAGGCCACACUGGAGCGGGGACAGGGUCCAGGGUCCUACGGGAGGCAGCAGUAGGGAAUCUGCCGCAAUGGGCGAGAGCUUGACGGAGCAACGCCGCGUGAGUGAUGAAGGUCUUCGGAUCGUAAAACUCUGUUAUUAGGGAAGAACAAAUGUGUAAGUAACUGUGCACGUCUUGACGGUACCUAAUCAGAAAGCCACGGCUAACUACGUG
Molecule: ribosomal RNA, 497 nt
Filed under: uncultured bacterium
Lineage: Bacteria
Description: partial 16S ribosomal RNA
Rfam family: Bacterial small subunit ribosomal RNA
Source: RNAcentral